RNAcentral lists this long non-coding RNA (294 nucleotides) under Hordeum vulgare. RNAcentral describes it as "long non-coding RNA (HVUL_LNC007441)". Lineage: Eukaryota; Viridiplantae; Streptophyta; Magnoliopsida; Poales; Poaceae. The record is from RNAcentral.
UUGAAUUCUUGACCUUGAGUUGGACUGCUUCAAACUUUACAACCAUGUUGUAGAACUGAUCAAACCCAGUGGGAUCCACCCGAAUGAGAGCAAGCUACAGAUCAUCUCGAAGCCACAUCUGAACUGGUAAAUCUUGCUCUUCUCAUCAGGAACGUCUUUCUUAGCAUAGCGGGCUAGGUUCUGGAACUCGAUGUUACACUGAUAGAUAGACGAGUUUCCUUGCUUGAGGUUUCUGAACUUCUCAUGCAUAUUCUUAACAAAACUAAUCGGAAUAUUAUGAGCUCUGAAGUCACG